UAGCUCAACAUUUUUCCAUCUCAACGGCGCUCUCUUUCUGUAUUAGUAAAAAAAUAAACUCAUGAAUUAAACAGAAUUCGAACCUAAGCAAAUUAGCACUGUAACCAUUAGUUCCAGAACUGCUCAUAAGAGAAUAGCGCGGGUCUGGUACAGAGUUAUGAAUGAAAAAAGUAUCAACUAAUCCCGGAUUACAGAACUCAAAUAUAUUAUUAAAUAUAUAUUUAUAUUAGUAUUUAAUAUUUAAUCAUGAUAUUGGAACACGUAUAACACACAUACAGUGAAACUAAUACUCAUUCAGAAGGAAAAGGUAGAACAAAUAUAAUAGAACAGUAAUACCUCUCAUAAACUCCUAAACCGAGAAGAAUACUAAAUGAGGAGUUUAAUGAUUAAAAAAAAAGUCGAAUAAUAAGGCAGUCCAUCUGAUGGUAGUAAUUAAAUCAUAUAAAUGAGGAGAAAAUCCCCUUAGCCUAAAAGCCUCCCUCCAAAUAUUAAUAGCAAUCCUCUUCCAACAAAAGGUACAGAAUGCGGUAACUUACCAGUCUGCUAAAGCCUUUUAGUUUGGCCCCAAAUUUUGAUCCCAAAACUUUUUAAUAAUAUAUUUUAUCAUUUUUGCGCUUAGAUAAUAAUGAAGUCCAUAGAUUAAAAAGAAAAAAAUGUGGAAUCAUUACCAAAAGAGAAACAUUGUCUUCUUUUUAAUAGUAGAAUAUUUUAAAGUUUUAAACUAAAUUAUUUAAAUCUCUAUAUUAGUAAAAGAAAAAAAUUUACAACGAUAUCCAAGGUAAUAUAUUGCAAUAUAUGGCUAAUUUCUAAUUAGAAUUAAUCUUUACAAUAACAACAACAACAACAACAACAAUAAUAAUAAUAAUAAUAAUAAUAAUAAUAAUAAUAGUAAUAAUUCAACUGUAAAAUUGGGGAACUCUGCAAAGCCUAACAAAUUAAAACAUUUAUAAGAUUUUGGAAGUUUAUAUAAUGCAUGUUGGCUCGUCCUAAUUUCAAACACUUACCACAUUCUCUAUUUUCUGAUCUACGAUAUUAGGUGAGAGACAUAGACAUGUCAAGCUUCGCACUCCGCAUCACUUGGCCAAAGACCAUGGAUGAACAAUCACUCCAAAAUACCAUCUUUGCAAGGAGUUUUCCGUGAUUGCAAUUGCAUGUCAUGGAAUGUUGGGGUCAACGCAGUACGUAUUCCAUAAAAUGGUAACUUGUUUGGCACCUAGUUCUUGGACUAUAUUCGUCAAAAUCAAUAUAAUUGGUAGCAAAUAUCUCCCUAUAAUAACUUAUAAGCAAUACUAUUAAUGUACUCAAAUUUUAAUAAUGCAAGUAUGGCAUUAUAUUUGAGCAUUUGCCUCUUCUUACCGAGGCCAGAACAUAGAAAAAACUAAUGUUUCAAUGCAUGGAAGGUUAAUUAGUUAAGUCAUGCAGAUUUGCAUUCUUCCACCUUGACAUUGAGGUAAUAUAAGAACUGAAAUGUCUUCCUGCGUGAAGUUAUUAUUGAUACAGAAGUUUUGAAUGAAUGAUAUCAGUUUCUCCUUAUAAUUUGUUUAUUAUCUAAUCACCAUUCAGAUUAAGUGUCGUAACCAAUCUAAAUCUGCAUACUUCGUGGUUUGAUUUGGCUAACCAUCAACCAUUUUAAAAUGCUACCCAUUAACCUCCAAGCGAAGACCAAAAAGACUAGAACAUUGGGUUUGCUCACGACAUUGACAAGUUAAGAUUACUUCUCAAGCAGUUGUAGGCCAAAGGUCGUGGAUGUAGGAUAGUUCCUGAGUACUGGUGUAGCAUGUAUUCAUGGUACAGAAGGUGGGAGGUCAUUGAAGUACAACUACUAUUGUUAUUGGUGGGUCGCAUAGUUUCAGUUGUAACUUUCAAUUACUAUUUUCUGCUAGUACACUUAGCUCAACAUUUUUCCAUCUCAACGGCUCUCUCUCUGUAUUAGUAAAAAAAUAAACUCAUGAAUUAAACAGAAUUCGAACCUAAGCAAAUUAACACUGUAACCAUUAGUUCCAGAACUGCUCAGAAGAGAAUAGCGCGGGUCUGGUACAGAGUUACGAAUGAAAAAAGUAUCAACUAAUCACGGAUUACAGAAUUCAAAUAUAUUAUUAAAUAUAUAUUUAUAUUAGUAUUUAAUAUUUAAUCAUGAUAUUGGAACACGUAUAACACACAUACAGUGAAACUAAUACUCAUUCAGAAGGAAAAGGUAGAACAAAUAUAAUAGAACAGUAAUACCUCUCAUAAACUCCUAAACCGAGAAGAAUACUAAAUGAGGAGUUUAAUGAUUAAAAAAAAAGUCGAAUAAUAAGGCAGAACCUCUCCUAAACUCCUAAACCGAAAAGAAUACUAAAUGAGGAGUUUAAUGAUUAAAAAAAAAAAGUCGAAUAAUAAGGCAGUCCAUCUGAUGGUAGUAAUUAAAUCAUAUAAAUGAGGAAUAUAGGUAACUCACUCGAUCCAAACCUCUGUCUUAUUAGCAACAACAACAACAACUACCCAGUAUAUUCCCACCAAGUGGGGUCUGGGGAGGGUAAUAUGUAGACGAGUCUUACCCCUACCCGAAGAAACCUCUGCCUUAUUAGCAGAAAACUAAAAAAAAAACAGAAAACAGAUCGAUCUGCCUCUCUCUCUUUGUCUGUCUCUCUCCGUACCCAAAGGCCGAAACUAUUAUGGCCACUAGCGGUAAUGGUGGUCGGCCUUUCCCUGAGGAUUUAGCGGUGAAUAUUCUACUCAGGUUGCCAGUGGAGUCCUUGUUGCGAUUCAAAUGCGUCUGCAAGAACUGGUACGAGAUAAUGAAGAGCCGUAGCUUCAUCAGAGAACACAUGCAUUAGAACAGCAAGAGCAAAUCCCCUCAAAUCUUGAUUUACGAUCAUAGUGCCCCACAUGAUU
This 2874-nucleotide long non-coding RNA is filed under the name Nicotiana benthamiana. Its description in RNAcentral is "long non-coding RNA (NBEN_LNC015008)". The record is from RNAcentral. Lineage: Eukaryota; Viridiplantae; Streptophyta; Magnoliopsida; Solanales; Solanaceae.